This is a long non-coding RNA of Vidua macroura (Pin-tailed whydah), 5790 nucleotides long. RefSeq lists it as uncharacterized. The transcript is spliced from 3 exons. The record is from RefSeq and is a predicted model, not a curated record. NCBI's taxonomy places the organism in Eukaryota, Metazoa, Chordata, Aves, Passeriformes, Viduidae.
UUCAGCAGCUUUAUGGAGCCAUGCCAAUUUCCCCUGCUUGGGAAUGAACUGGAGGAGCUUCUUCCCAUGCUGGAGCCUCACAGGAAAGAAAAGGGGUGAACGUGCCAGUGGUGGCUGUGCUGCAGCUCACUGAUCUUUGCAGGGUGCAGGUAGAGAGGAGCAGGUGAGAAUCCUCUCCAAGAUUACAGAGAUCUCGUGUCCCAUAAGUCCCAGGUGGUGGUGGAGCCCCUGGUUUUUUGGGAAUCUCACUCUGGAGCAUGCCCAUAAUGUGGCAGUGACCCAGCUACUGUGUAAAUAUUUUUGAAAAGCAGCAUUUGUCCCCAUAUUAGCAGGCAGAGAAAGGCAAGGUGGUAUGGGCAGCCCAAGGUGUGGGGAAGGAGUCCUGGCUCUCCCAGGGUCUGGAGUUCUGCUUCUUGUGUUUUAGCCCAGAUUUUCUUCUGGAAUGUGGCAUCCAGCACGCUGUGCCAAGAGAUGCUCUGCCCUGUGUGAUGGCAGGACUACAUCCCUCCCCUGUGGAUUUGCUUCCCUGUGCCUUGGCCUGCUCCUGUGACUGGUGGGGAAGCAAUUCUUUUUUUAGGUGAAGAACUCCUAAGAUUAUCAAAUGAACAGAACUGUGCAACAUAAAAUCUUGAAUUUACUAGCUAUUAUUUGUAUCCUUAGAAGCACAGUGUGCUGUCAUCUUGCCUUUAUAAAGAUCAAAAUCCAUCCCGACAGCCUGCUUUGCCUACUUUCUCCAUGGCUGAAGGCAACUUUGCAGGCCCUUGGAGCUGAAACUGUCACUUUUUGUUAAUCCUGUGUGUUUCUUGUGUUUAAACUUUUGAAUAUAUCAGUAGAGCUGGUGUAAUCUCCAUAAUCAUGACUUUAUCGUACAAGAAUAACUCUUGAAUAUCUAGCCCGAAGUUAACUCUUCUCAGACAGCAGUGACAUGGGUGACAAGAUGGCAAAGAUGCUUUUCAGGAGAUGUGGUAAAAGCUGUGGCACUGCCCAGCCCAGCAGGGUGAGGCUCAGGCUGGUGCCUUGGUUGCUGCAGGGAGAUGCAUGAGGCAGUGGAUGGAGUGGUGCUUUCCCACUUCUGCUACUUGUAUCUCACUCUGGUUUUCAUUUGUAGACCUACUGUGUCCAUUAUCUACCACAGUGACACUUAAUCCAUGUGGAAAAGUCAAGGCUUAGCAUUUCACUUCAUGAAGCUGGUAAUACAUUGCAAAUUAAACAACAUUAUUUGCUCUCUUUUCUUCUCUCUCAAGUUUGUUUCCAUACAGGAUGUGCUCAAGAAAUGCAAGAUGGAAAAAGAAAAUCAAUAGUCAUUGAUGCUAAAAUAUUAAUGUUUUUUCAGAAUGAGGGGUGGAAUAGAGUGAACUCCCAGGAGUUCACAGCAGCCCUGACUGCAGCGCUGCAGAGUUUGCAAAAGCAUUGGAGAGCAGAGGUAGGGCCAGCAUGGGCAGGGAAAGAAGGGUCUGGUGUGAGCUGACUUUUGUGCACUCUCUGACACCUUGCAGAGUGAAAUGGGCGCUGUGCAGUGCCUGUCCUGUGUGUCAGUGUGGGAAUGGCAACCAGCAUUGCCUGCUACCCCGUGCUCCUGGAAAAAUCCUGACAGGGUGUGCAUCCACCCAGGAGCAGCGGGAAUGGCCCUGCAGCUUCUGCUGCCCAGCACUGUCCCACGCAGCCAUGUUCCCCUGUGUGCCAGAGCCAGGGCUGUGCUCCUGCACUGGCACUGUCCCCUAGUCUGGGUAGUGAGAAACCAUCGGGGAGCUGGGAACACGUGCACCAGCACUGAAACAAGUACAAUUAUUGUAAGGUGUGCAUAUGACUUCGCAAGGAUUACACAGAGAACUAGGCCAAGCUUUCCCCAUGCCGAGGGUGUCAUCCCUCCCCGGUGGUCCAGCCCUCCCAGUUACCCCUUGGCAGCAGGUUUGUUGCCAUUACUGUGCCAGAAAAGUGUGUUGGUGACAGAAAAGAGCAGACUGUGUGUGUGAUCUUUGCAGGCUGCCUGGCAGAGCUGGCUCCGGCCUUGCUGGGCUGUCGUGAGGGGAUCUGGCACCUCGGUUCCCAGCCUCCAGAAACACUCUGUGUUCACGCCGUCCUCCUUUUGUUCAGGUUUCCAGAGGAGUUUCUUUUUAGACAGAAGCCUUCAGAUGGGAUUUAUGUGAACGUGAAACCCCAUCAGGCAUGGGCAGAUUUGGGUUUCCCAGCCCAUUCCUUGGGUGCUGCUGCCAUCUAGGGUGUGAGCCAGCAGAGCCUCGGUGCUGGCCACGGGCAGCCACGGCCUUAUCGCACUGUCCACGGCCUUAUCACACAGUCCCACAGCCUUAUCACACAGUCCCACAGCCUUAUCACACUGUCCACAGCCUGCCCUGCAGGGUUUGCUCUGAAGCAUUGAUGGCAGCCAGGCCAGGGCCCACCGCAGCUGCCAGGGCUGAGCCACGUUUGGGGUUAAGCAUGGUCAUGGCACCUUACUGCCCAAGGAAAGACUGCAGAGGAGCAGUGUUCUGAGGUGUCACUGUGGUGUGGGGACACGGGGUUUGGUUUCUGCUGUUGCCAUAAGCUCCCAGGUGUGCUGCAGGUGCAGUGACACUGCAGGGGCUGGCGAGGAGCCCUGGGCUCACAGCAGGUCUUGCCCCUGGCUGGGCAGGUUGGCUUGGUUGUUGUUUAAAGGUCCCUGUGCAGACUGGCAGGGUGCGUGGAAGGGGUCAGAGAUGGCCGUGGUGUCUCUGAGCUGAAGCCCCUCUGAAGCAGACUUGUGUUCCACCUGGGCUGUACUGCCACCUUUGUUUUUGUGUCAAACAGGUCUGGUCUGCCAACCCAAGAAGUUUUUACACACACUUAGAGAGAAUGUGAGCCAAAGCCAGGCUGGCUCCUGCCCAGCCUGAGGGGCACAGGGAGGGAACAGAUGUUCACUCCAAACCAAAAUCAUUCCUGAGCUUGAAUCUGCACUAAUGGCUCUGGCCCUGCAUCGAGGACUUCAAAGCAAAAGGAAUUUUUUGGAAUAGUUCCAGCUCAGGUGUAACUGAAAUCCCAUUUUACAGACUGUUUCCACAGACUCCAUUUGUGAAACCCAGGAAACAGGACUCACUUUUCUGCAGCAAACUGGAGCCUGGCUGAGCGUGCUGACGCCACGUGGAUUUUCCCUGAGCUUACCUUGGUGAGGUAAAGCUCUGAGCUCAAAUUCCUGGUGAAAUAAAUUUACAUACGGUGUGAAACCCCUCCCAUCUCCCCUGGAGCCAGGUGAGGGGCUGCCAGGGCUGUCUGCCACCCUUGGUAUGGCUGAAGCAGGCACUGAGUAGUGCAGAUCAAUAGCACUGCUGUAUUAUUGUGACCCUCCUGACUGAAGGAAUGGCCCUUGAGAUGCCUGUGGACUUCAGAACGGGAGACACGGCUGCCACAAACAAGCAAAAAGGAAACCUUCAGCAGCUUCCCUUAGCAGCCAUGGAGAGCUUGGAGCAGAGUUGUGGGGUGGAUUUGCCACAGAGCCUGUGCUGGAUCUGCACUGUGUGAUGUGGAGCCACAGCAGGAGCCUCAGCUGCAGAGGACGUGCCCACCUGGAGUGUCAUGGUGUGUGUCACCUCCUGAAGGAUGGCCCCAUCCUCCCCAGGGCUAACCUGGCUGGUGCCCUGCAUAGGAGGGGAUACCCACACCUACAGCACAUGAACCAGCUCUGGGAAGCUCCAGCUCAGCUGCUGCUGCUUCAGGCCAGAAGACCCCAAACCUGAUGGUUUAGACAUAAAAAAGAUGAUUUCACUGAUGAAAUUGGCCUGAAACUGGUCAUUGUUGGCCUGAUGAAAGUGCAUUUCAAUAGAGGCCUACUUGUCCCACGGGAUGAAGGCAGGAGAGUGAUGGAAAAACUUCUGGUGGGUUGUCACUCAUCAUGGUGGCUGGGAGGUGUGACUGGAUGGACCACAGGAUGGACCACAGGCUUGGUCACGCAGGAUGUGAGUCACUUGGGAACUGUGCUGUCCUGACAUGGAGCAAACAGGGGUAGUGAGUCAGAGGUGGCCUGAGCAUGCCAUGGUAGAGCACCAGAAAUAACCUCAGGCUCCAUGGAGGAGCUGCUGACGUGGGGACAACAGGAAUUUCAGCAUUCUGACAGUGUGUAAGGGGGUGGCAGAGCUCCAGAUGGGGUUCCCCAUGGUACGAGCUGGAGCAGGCUUUGAACCUGUGUUGCUUUUAGAGCUGACAUAGGUUUUCAUGUCUGUCUGCUGGCCCAGCAACACCCUCACUGCACUGAGGAGCCUCUGACUGCACAGAGAACCUGCCAGGGCACAGCAGCAAGAUUAAUGUGUCUGGGAAUUUCCUGGUGAGACUUUUUGUGCUAUUUACCAGAAGUCCCUUGAAGGCAGAAAUUAUUGCAUUAAAAGAUUAAGGCAUCAUUAAUCAUAUUUUUUUUGUCUUCCAUUUUCUUCUGGCAGGCUGGCUCAGUAUUACUGGUAAGGUUUUUUAUUUUUUUUCAUUUUUGUCCAUUCAGAAGAAUAAGUUUCUUCAAGUCUUUUCUGUGACUGUGGCAUCCUCAGGUAAGAAGGAGCCUUGAGAAAAUUUUGGGCAGCUGAGUGGAGUUGCUCACUAUUGUGAACACUGACAUUUUGACCUCCUUGCUUUCUAGGUUUCUUUUGACUGAUGUAUAUAAUUCAUGGUUCUUCAUAAAAAUAAUAGAAAUUAUUUUAAAAAAUGUAUUUAUAAGAUAUAGUCGUUGUCCAAAGAUCUUGCCUGGUGUGAGGGGGGUAAUGUGGGAUGGAAGGUGGUUGUAGAUGUACCAAUUUCUUCUGAUGUGGUGGCAGGGGUUGAGAUGGAGGGGUUGACCUGGUCGUGGAGCUUCAGGAUGGUUCCCAGCUAUGGUCUGGCUCCAGAAAGGUUCAAGUAUAGUUUAGAUGCCCAUUUUGGAAAUAUUUGGGAAAUGUGUCCUAACUUAUAAAGCAGAAAAGUUGAAAUGUAACCAAGGAAGAAAUAGCCACUAUGAUAGAAACAGGGUGAUUUUAAAAUUUGCUUUGGUUAUUGAGAGACUCUGCACCACGGGCCAUAGAUAUGACAAAAAGUUGUGUCCUGGCUCCCUGGUGCUUCAUUCAUUUCCAUGCCCACAGCUUUCCUUCUGUGCCUGGUACUACUGCGAGCAAAGCAUUUCUUAAUUUAUGUGCUAAUUAACCUGACAGAGCGAGUUGAUCGUUGGGAGCCUGGGCUCCGGGCAAGCCUGUGUUUGCAGGCAGGGUUCCUUCCCUUUUAUUUUAACUGGAGCAGGGAACGCGAGGCUGGAGCAGUGGGAGGCAGCGGCUCCUCCGGGGGCGGGGGUUCGGGAUGCGCGAAGUGCGAGCGCUGUGGAGGAUGCGGCAGCUUCAGAAAUAUCUGCUUUCAGCCUCCCCUUUUAAUGGAAGUUUUAUUUUAGAAAGUUUUAGUUAACGUCAUUCUAAAGUUUAUUUCCAUUUUAUCUUUUAAAUAAAGAGGCUGUAAAGCUCCUGGCUGGGUUUUUCAUUCCUGCCGGCUGGGAAAAGAGAGGUGAACGGGCUGCUUGUCUCCCGCGGGGAUGCUUUAGGGGCUGCUGGGCUGCAGCCUGACCUACCUACGGCCGUGACUCACCGGGGCAGCUCCUGCAGCCUCCGGAGCUGGAUCCAGCCCCUGCAAAGCCCUGUCACCUGUGCCGCUCUGUCCUGGGGCCGCUGGGUUUGCUUUGCUUCCCGUGCUGCUGCCCCAGCCUGGCACUGAGCCUGGCCAGACCCACUGUUAAUGGAGAAGAGGUCAGCCUGUGCCCCGCUGGCAGCUCUGUGGGGUCUGUGCCAAAGGCUUUGCCCUGGCCGCUGGCAUGGGGAG